This 193-nucleotide ribosomal RNA is filed under the name Paenibacillus phyllosphaerae. RNAcentral describes it as "Bacterial large subunit ribosomal RNA". It matches the Rfam family "Bacterial large subunit ribosomal RNA", at positions 2725 to 2925 of the family's 2925-position model. The record is from Rfam by way of RNAcentral. Lineage: Bacteria; Bacillati; Bacillota; Bacilli; Caryophanales; Paenibacillaceae.
UCCGCCAGGAGCACCGCUGGGUAGCCAAGUACGGACGGGAUAAGCGCUGAAAGCAUCUAAGCGUGAAGCCCCCCUCAAGAUGAGAUUUCCCAGUACGUAAGACCCCUGGAAGACGACCAGGUUGAUAGGUUCGAGGUGGAAGUGCAGCAAUGCAUGCAGCUGACGAAUACUAAUCGGUCGAGGGCUUAUCCUG